GAACCGUGCGAACGUUGUUCGGAUUCACUGGGCUUAAAGGGCGCGUAGGCGGCCCGCCAAGUCUGGGGUGAAAGCCCCCGGCUCAACCGGGGAAGUGCCUGGGAUACUGGCGGGCUCGAGGGGGGUAGGGGCGGACGGAACUUCCGGUGGAGCGGUGAAAUGCGUUGAUAUCGGAAGGAACGCCGGUGGCGAAAGCGGUCCGCUGGGCCCCCACUGACGCUGAGGCGCGAAAGCCAGGGGAGCAAACGGGAUUAGAUACCCCGGUAGUCCUGGCCCUAAACGAUGGGUACUAGGCUGUGGGCUUGACAUGGGCUCGCAGCCGAAGCCAAAGUGUUAAGUACCCCGCCUGGGGAGUAUGGUCGCAAGGCUGAA
This 372-nucleotide ribosomal RNA is filed under the name uncultured bacterium. RNAcentral's name for it is "bacterial SSU rRNA". It matches the Rfam family "Bacterial small subunit ribosomal RNA", at positions 527 to 898 of the family's 1533-position model. The record is from RNAcentral.